Molecule: ribosomal RNA, 496 nt
Filed under: uncultured bacterium
Lineage: Bacteria
Description: partial 16S ribosomal RNA
Rfam family: Bacterial small subunit ribosomal RNA
Source: RNAcentral
AUGAACGCUGGCGGCGUGCCUAAUACCUGCCAGUCGAGCGAACGGACGAGAAGCUUGCUUCUCUGAUGUUAUCGGCGGACGGGUGAGUAACACGUGGAUAACCUACCUAUAAGACUGGGAUAACUUCGGGAAACCGGAGCUAAUACCGGAUAAUAUUUUGAACCGCAUGGUUCAAAAGUGAAAGACGGUCUUGCUGUCACUUAUAGAUGGAUCCGCGCUGCAUUAGCUAGUUGGUAAGGUAACGGCUUACCAAGGCAACGAUGCAUAGCCGACCUGAGAGGGUGAUCGGCCACACUGGAACUGAGACACGGUCCAGACUCCUACGGGAGGCAGCAGUAGGGAAUCUUCCGCAAUGGGCGAAAGCCUGACGGAGCAACGCCGCGUGAGUGAUGAAGGUCUUCGGAUCGUAAAACUCUGUUAUUAGGGAAGAACAUAUGUGUAAGUAACUGUGCACAUCUUGACGGUACCUAAUCAGAAAGCCACGGCUAACUACGUG